RNAcentral lists this ribosomal RNA (397 nucleotides) under uncultured bacterium. RNAcentral describes it as "partial 16S ribosomal RNA". It matches the Rfam family "Bacterial small subunit ribosomal RNA", at positions 523 to 918 of the family's 1533-position model. The record is from RNAcentral.
AUACGUAGGUGACAAGCGUUAUCCGGAUUUACUGGGCGUAAAGGGCGUGUAGGCGGUCUUGCAAGUCAGAAGUGAAAUUCCUGAGCUCAACUCGGGCGCUGCUUCUGAAACUGCAGGACUUGAGUGCUGGAGGGGAUAGCGGAAUUCCUAGUGGAGCGGUAAAAUGCGCAGAUAUUAGGAAGAACACCGGUGGCGAAGGCGGCUAUCUGGACAGUAACUGACGCUGAGGCGCGAAAGCGUGGGGAGCAAACAGGAUUAGAUACCCUGUUAGUCCACGCCGUAAACGAUGAAUACUAGGUGUAGGGGGUAUCGACUCCCUCUGUGCCGCAGUUAACACAAUAAGUAUUCCGCCUGGGGAGUACGGCCGCAAGGCUAAAACUCAAAGGAAUUGACGGGG